This is a long non-coding RNA of Anastrepha obliqua, 643 nucleotides long. RefSeq lists it as uncharacterized. Lineage: Eukaryota; Metazoa; Arthropoda; Insecta; Diptera; Tephritidae. The record is from RefSeq and is a predicted model, not a curated record. The transcript has 2 exons.
GCGCAUGGGGAGCAACGGAUAAGAAUAUGAACUGAAAACCAGAAGUUUAUCCGAAAAAAACAAAAACAACAAAUGAAAAAGGCUUUCCAAGUGGUAGGUUAAUGCCACAGCCUGCCUGCGCUGCCUGCGGAGUUGAGAAAGCGAUGAUUGCAAGUUAACAGCCACACAAAUAUGCCGAAUAUGCACGUCUAUGCAGGCUUUUAAGCGAAACGGUGAGCGAGUGCGAAUCAGGUUUACUAACAACGUGCUCAACUGGGCGUAUACGCAACCUUGCACUACAAAUGCAGUGCAGUGCAAAAGUACUACAGCAACCAUGGCAAGGGAAGUAGUAAAAGUAGUAGGAGUAAUCCCUGCGGAUUUACGAGCAUAAAAUCCGGUCGCUUCAUUCGUUGCUUCACAACAGAGUUUGCACUUUUGGCCUAAUUGAAAAUUUUUUCAGACAACAUCCGCACUUUGCGAAUAGCCGCAGCAACUUUACAUACUGCAUGCAUGGAAUUGUGGCAUGCGCCUGCAAAUUGGAAUAUGUUUUUUUCUAUAAAAUUUGUACAAUUUAAAUGACUCGAAAUAGUUUUCAAGCAAGAAAUACAGAAUAAACUAAUGAAACAUUGCAAACAUCAAAUUAAAGCUCAAACUCAAAUCACAA